GACGAACGCUGGCGGCGUGCUUAACACAUGCAAGUCGAACGGAAAGGCCCUGCUUUUGUGGGGUGCUCGAGUGGCGAACGGGUGAGUAACACGUGAGUAACCUGCCCUUGACUUUGGGAUAACUUCAGGAAACUGGGGCUAAUACCGGAUAGGAGCUCCUGCUGCAUGGGGGGGGUUGGAAAGUUUCGGCGGAUGGGGAUGGACUUGCGGCUUAUCAGCUUGUUGGUGGGGUAGUGGCUUACCCAGGCAUUGGCGGGUGGCCGGCCUGAGAGGGCGACCGGCCACAUUGGGACUGAGAUACGGCCCAGACGCCUACGGGAGGCAGCAGUGGGGAAUAUUGUACAAUGGGCGGAAGCCUGAUGCAGAAACGCCGCGUGCGGGAUGACGGCCUUCGGGUUGUAAACCGCUUUCGCCUGUGACGAAGCGUGAGUGACGGUAAUGGGUAAAGAAGCACCGGCUAACUACGUG
RNAcentral lists this ribosomal RNA (468 nucleotides) under uncultured bacterium. Its description in RNAcentral is "partial 16S ribosomal RNA". It matches the Rfam family "Bacterial small subunit ribosomal RNA", at positions 28 to 507 of the family's 1533-position model. The record is from RNAcentral.